RNAcentral lists this ribosomal RNA (246 nucleotides) under uncultured bacterium. Its description in RNAcentral is "partial 16S ribosomal RNA". It matches the Rfam family "Bacterial small subunit ribosomal RNA", at positions 524 to 768 of the family's 1533-position model. The record is from RNAcentral.
UACGAAGGGGGCUAGCGUUGUUCGGAAUUACUGGGCGUAAAGCGCACGUAGGCGGGUUGUUAAGUCAGGGGUGAAAUCCUGGAGCUCAACUCCAGAACUGCCUUUGAUACUGGCAACCUAGAGACUGGAAGAGGUUAGUGGAAUUCCCAGUGUAGAGGUGAAAUUCGUAGAUAUUGGGAAAGAACACCAGUGGCGAAGGCGGCUAACUGGUCCAGCACUGACGCUGAGGUGCGAAAGCGUGGGGAG